Small nucleolar RNA from Psammomys obesus (fat sand rat), 144 nucleotides. RefSeq annotates it as small nucleolar RNA SNORA48. The record is from RefSeq and is a predicted model, not a curated record. Lineage: Eukaryota; Metazoa; Chordata; Mammalia; Rodentia; Muridae. The transcript has a single exon.
UCCUCUUGGCAAUGGGCUAAGAGAUAUCAUGUUGGUGGUGAUGUUCUUACACCAAUCAGGGGCAGAGCAGAUGGCAGUCCUUUGCUCAUCCCAGCUGGGUGCCUGGGUUGGUGGCCAAAGCUGUUUCAUUCCUAGAACUCAUCA